This 516-nucleotide ribosomal RNA is filed under the name uncultured bacterium. RNAcentral's name for it is "bacterial SSU rRNA". It matches the Rfam family "Bacterial small subunit ribosomal RNA", at positions 18 to 518 of the family's 1533-position model. The record is from RNAcentral.
UAUGGCUCAGAUUGAACGCUGGCGGCGUGCUUAACACAUGCAAGUCGCGCGUGAAAGGACUUCGGUCCGAGUAAAGCGGCGCACGGGUGAGUAACGCGUGGAUGAUCUACCCAUGAGUUAGGAAUAACGGCUGGAAACGGUCGCUAAUACCAAAUACGCUCCGAUUUCAACUUCGGGGGAAAGGUGGCCUCUGCUUGCAAGCUACUGCUCAUGGAUGAGUCCGCGUCCCAUUAGCUAGUUGGUGGGGUAACGGCCCACCAAGGCGACGAUGGGUAGCCGGUCUGAGAGGAUGACCGGCCACACUGGGACUGGAACACGGCCCAGACUCCUACGGGAGGCAGCAGUGGGGAAUAUUGCGCAAUGGGCGAAAGCCUGACGCAGCGACGCCGCGUGAGGGAUGAAAGGUCCUCGGAUCGUAAACCUCUGUCAGGAGGGAAGAACCGCCACGGUGCUAAUCAGCCGUGGUCUGACGGUACCUCCAAAGGAAGCACCGGCUAACUCCGUGCCAGCAGCUGC